UGAGUACGAGAUGCUACGGCAUCGAAGCAGUCUAUGUCAUACUUCCAAGAAAAGCUUGCAAUGUCAUAAACAAAUAAUGCCUGUACCAUAACCGACACAGGUGGGUAGGUAGAGUAUACUAAGGGGCGCGAGAUAACUCUCUCUAAGGAACUCGGCAAAAUGACUCCGUAACUUCGGGAGAAGGAGUGCCUUAUUUUUAUAAGGUUGCAAUAACAAGAUCCAAGCAACUGUUUACCAAAAACACAGGUCUCCGCUAAGUCGUAAGACGAUGUAUGGGGGCUGACGCCUGCCCAGUGCCAGAAGGUUAAAGAAGUUGGUUAGCAUUAGCGAAGCUGAUAACCGAAGCCCUGGUGAACGGCGGCCGUAAUAAUAACGGUCCUAAGGUAGCGAAAUUCCUUGUCGGGUAAGUUCCGACCCGCACGAAAGGCGUAAUGAUUUGGAUACUGUCUCGGAGAGGGGCUCGGUGAAAUAGACUUGUCUGUGAAGAUGCGGACUACCUGCACCUGGACAGAAAGACCCUAUGAAGCUUUACUGUAACUUGAGAUUGAAAUUGGACUUUAUCUGCGCAGUAUAGGUGGGAGACGUUGAAAAUAUUCUUGCGGGAAUAUUGGAGUCAUCAGUGAGAUACCACUCUUAUAAUGUUAGAUUUCUAACUUUGUAUCAUUAUCUGGUCAAAGAACAGUUUCAGGCGGGCAGUUUGACUGGGGCGGUCGCCUCCCAAACGGUAACGGAGGCGCACAAAGGUUUCCUCUGAACGUGUAGAAAUCGUAUCUAGAGUGUAAAGGCAUAAGGAAGCUUGACUGUGAGACCUACAAGUCGAGCAGGGACGAAAGUCGGUCUUAGUGAUCUGACGGUGCUGAGUGGAAAGGCCGUCACUCAACGGAUAAAAGUUACUCUAAGGAUAACAGGCUGAUCUCCCCCAAGAGUUCACAUCGACGGGGAGGUUUGGCACCUCGAUGUCGGCUCAUCGCAUCCUGGGGCGGUAGUACGUCCCAAGGGUUGGGCUGUUCGCCCAUGAAAGCGGUACGCGAGCUGGGUUCAGAACGUCGUGAGACAGUUCGGUCCAUAUCCGGUGUAGGCGUUAGAAUAUUGAGAGGAGCCUUCUUUAGUACGAGAGGACCGAGAAGGACAUACCUCUGGUGUACCAGUUAUCGUGCCAACGGUAAACGCUGGGUAGCCAUGUAUGGAGAGGAUAACCGCUGAAAGCAUCUAAGUGGGAAGCCCACCUCAAGAUAAGUAUUCUC
RNAcentral lists this ribosomal RNA (1244 nucleotides) under metagenome. Its description in RNAcentral is "bacterial LSU rRNA". It matches the Rfam family "Bacterial large subunit ribosomal RNA", at positions 1564 to 2815 of the family's 2925-position model. The record is from RNAcentral.